This 266-nucleotide ribosomal RNA is filed under the name uncultured bacterium. Its description in RNAcentral is "partial 16S ribosomal RNA". It matches the Rfam family "Bacterial small subunit ribosomal RNA", at positions 793 to 1055 of the family's 1533-position model. The record is from RNAcentral.
GUCCACGCCCUAAACGAUGUCAACUGGUUGUUGGGUCUUCACUGACUCAGUAAUGAAGCUAACGCGUGAAGUUGACCGCCUGGGGAGUACGGCCGCAAGGUUGAAACUCAAAAGGAAUUGACGGGGGACCCGCACAAGCGGUGGAUGAUGUGGUUUAAUUCGAUGCAACGCGAAAAACCUUACCCACCUUUGACAUGUAUGGAAUCCUGAAGAGAUUUAGGAGUGCUCGAAAGAGAGCCAUAACACAGGUGCUGCAUGGCUGUCGU